GAUGAACGCUGGCGGCGUGCCUAAUACAUGCAAGUCGAGCGAACAGAUAAGGAGCUUGCUCCUUUGACGUUAGCGGCGGACGGGUGAGUAACACGUGGGUAACCUACCUAUAAGACUGGGAUAACUUCGGGAAACCGGAGCUAAUACCGGAUAACAUUUGGAACCGCAUGGUUCUAAAGUGAAAGAUGGUUUUGCUAUCACUUAUAGAUGGACCCGCGCCGUAUUAGCUAGUUGGUAAGGUAACGGCUUACCAAGGCGACGAUACGUAGCCGACCUGAGAGGGUGAUCGGCCACACUGGAACUGAGACACGGUCCAGACUCCUACGGGAGGCAGCAGUAGGGAAUCUUCCGCAAUGGGCGAAAGCCUGACGGAGCAACGCCGCGUGAGUGAUGAAGGGUUUCGGCUCGUAAAACUCUGUUAUUAGGGAAGAAAAAAUGUGUAAGUAACUGUGCACGUCUUGACGGUACCUAAUCAGAAAGCCACGGCUAACUACGUG
RNAcentral lists this ribosomal RNA (497 nucleotides) under uncultured bacterium. RNAcentral's name for it is "partial 16S ribosomal RNA". It matches the Rfam family "Bacterial small subunit ribosomal RNA", at positions 28 to 507 of the family's 1533-position model. The record is from RNAcentral.